This 118-nucleotide non-coding RNA is filed under the name Arthrobacter sp. RNAcentral's name for it is "TPP sequence". It matches the Rfam family "TPP riboswitch aptamer (THI element)". Rfam says of the family: Vitamin B(1) in its active form thiamin pyrophosphate (TPP) is an essential coenzyme that is synthesised by coupling of pyrimidine and thiazole moieties in bacteria. The previously detected thiamin-regulatory element, thi box was extended, resulting in a new, highly conserved RNA secondary structure, the THI element, which is widely distributed in eubacteria and also occurs in some archaea. RNAcentral also lists the same sequence under 1 other name. The record is from RNAcentral. Lineage: Bacteria; Bacillati; Actinomycetota; Actinomycetes; Micrococcales; Micrococcaceae.
UCAACACGACAGGGGAGCGUCUACCCGCCUUGGGUACCGGCGCUGAGAGUGCGGUUCGCCGCAGACCCUCGAACCUGCUCCGGCUAGUACCGGCGAAGGGAGUCGAGUUCUCUUCGGC